GCGCUCUCCAAGUAUUCACAUACUGGCCUUGUGCAGCUAGAGAUGUAGGCAAAAGAUUGACUAAGCGAACUAGUACUUUAUCCCCGGCAUCUCGGCACCGCUGCAACUGGGGCAUAGCAUAAUAGCAUCCUCCCCUCUUGCCUGCUAGACCCAAUGGAAUGGAAAGGAGUGAUUCAAGGCCUUUCCUUUCGCCAUGAGCUAUGUCCGCAUCUAAAGUAU
RNAcentral lists this unclassified non-coding RNA (219 nucleotides) under Hevea brasiliensis (rubber tree). The record is from RNAcentral. Lineage: Eukaryota; Viridiplantae; Streptophyta; Magnoliopsida; Malpighiales; Euphorbiaceae.